RNAcentral lists this small nucleolar RNA (130 nucleotides) under Dasypus novemcinctus (nine-banded armadillo). RNAcentral describes it as "Small nucleolar RNA SNORA31 (ENSDNOG00000029780.1)". It matches the Rfam family "Small nucleolar RNA SNORA31". From Rfam's summary of the family: ACA31 (SNORA31) belongs to the H/ACA class of snoRNAs which are thought to guide the sites of modification of uridines to pseudouridines. ACA31 is predicted to guide the pseudouridylation of U3713 in 28S rRNA and U218 in 18S rRNA. Lineage: Eukaryota; Metazoa; Chordata; Mammalia; Cingulata; Dasypodidae. The record is from RNAcentral.
GUUUAUUUCUAGACCUGUAGCAGUUCAUGUCUGCUGCUAAGGUUUCCACGGCAGAUGCAAGAAAAAGAAGGUCCUCGUGCUUUCUGUCUGCCUGAUUGUGACAGCCAAGAUUGAAUGGGGGAAUACAGGA